CUGGUUUGUAGGGCUUCUUUAUACAUUCUAGUUGUGUGUCUAAUGUUGAUUACAAAUAUUGCAAUAGUCUUCUAUUUUGUGGUUUUUAUUUUACUCUCUCAGUGGUGUCCUUUGAUAAAUAGAAGUUCUUAAUUUUUAAAUAGUCUGGUUUAUCCAUCUUUUUCUAUAUAAUUAAUAAUCUUUGCUCCAUUUAAGUAACUCUAACCCCAAAGGCAUAAGAUCCUCUUAUGUUUAUGAUCUAGAAGCUUUUUUGUUCUAUCUUUAAGGUGAGGAUACUUGGAACAGACUUUUGUGUAUGUUAAGGUAGGGGUCUGAUUUUCAUUUUUUCCAUACAGAUAUCCCACAGACCCAGCACCAUUUAUUGAGAAGACAAUCUCUUUCCCCUGCACUUCAGGCAUUCCAUUUAAAAAAACUGACUAUCAUUUUGAAUGGCUGGAUUGAGGCUGUGUUCCCUUGGGCAUGGGCUAAACCCUGUUGGGCUCCUUCAGUUGGGGCAGGGUUGGUAUUGGAGUCUGUGUUUGGCCAGGGCUGCAGGUAUGGGUCUGAUUUCAGCAUGGUGAAGGUGGGGAGAGGUGGAUGUACUGGGGGAGGUGGAUGCAGGGAUUCUGGGGGUGUUCAGCUUUUGUCCUGGCUUUUUUAUUUCUUGCAGCCUCUUAAAGGGCUUUCUAAAUCUCCUCCCUCUCAAACCAUCCAUUUCUUUCAUCGGCUUUGAUAUUGUAAACACAAUUUUAUGGGUUUUCUUUUUAAGGAGGUUGGAUUUUAUCUUUCGUGUCUCCUUCAUUGAGUCCUUUUCAGAGGCCUCCUUUUCUGUUUCUGAAAACCUUUUCUCUGCUUCCCCCCCAGCCUGCUGCCCCAGCAGGUAGGGUUUGAUGUUUGCCCUCAGGCAUUGUUAUCCUCGACCUUCUUGUGUUGACAACACAAGUCCAGACACCUGAAAGCUGUUGUGUAUUGAUCCUGCCGGGUCCUCCUCAGUACUGGGCGCUGCCGAAGGAGGCCUCACAGAACUGGAGCUUGGGCAGUUGGCCCAGACUCUGCCUAAUAGGGCUUUGCUUUUUCUUUUUGGUAAAACAUACAGAUUUCCUAAGUUUCUCUUCUCUUAACUUGGCAUUUAAAAUCCAGGAGAGUCUGACGUUGAAUGAGUUUUCUAGCACUGCCUCCCACAAACCCUCCUUAAGGUCCAUGUGCCUUGGGAUCUUCAUGCUCCUUCAUAUUUUAUUUCUUCUUAUUAAAAAAUUGAUCUAUUUAUAUAUUGCUUGGUUGAUUGGUUGAGGUAUAUCCCAAUUCUUUUGCUUACCUUUUCCAUAUUCCUCAUGUCGAAAUCCUGUUCAUUCCACAAAUGUCACCUCUCCCAGGGAGUCCUCCCUGCUUUUCCUAAUUAGCACUAGUCAUUCCUUCUGGGAUCCAGGGCUCUUCGCUUCUCUCUCUAUGGGACUAAUUACUGCCCUGGGUCUGUGCUUCUGCUCAUCUCUCCCACCAGGUUUUGAGUGCCAUCUCCUUGUUGACAAGGGCUGUAUCGUGUUUAUCUGUCUCCAGCAUGACAAGCCCUGGCGCAC
Long non-coding RNA from Pan troglodytes (chimpanzee), 1553 nucleotides. The record is from Ensembl. NCBI's taxonomy places the organism in Eukaryota, Metazoa, Chordata, Mammalia, Primates, Hominidae.